UUUUUUUUUUUUUUCUUUAAAGGUUUUAUUUAUUUAUUCAUGAGAGACACAGAGAGAGGCAGAGACACAGGCAGAGGGGGAAGCAGGCUCUAUCUAUGCAGGGAGCCCACCCGAUGCGGGACUCGAUCCCGGGUCUCCAGGAUCACGCCCUGGGCCAAAGGCCGAUGCUCUGCCGCUGAGCCACCCAGGCGUCCCAGUGCCUUGGUUUGCAAAAUGGGGCAGCCCUCGCACAUCUUGUUCCAGUCGUCGGCCUAUGCUAAAGCGAACCACCUUGAAUUCCACGCUCCGCUCUUGCCACCUUUUGGGCAGUGCUGUGUGAGAAGGAAACUGUCACUUCUUAUGAAACACUAUGUGAAUACAUCAGUGGGAGAGAGCACAGCCGUGCUAUGGGGAAGAUUUAAGAGAAGCUCCACCGUGCUGGAUAAAAGUCUAUUAUUGACAGAAUAAUAGAAGCUGCUUUCUUGGCACGAGGUGAAGUGACAGGGCUAAUUCAACUUCUCCAGCUAAAUAGGAGAGGUUAGAAUUUUUUACACUAGCACAUUUGGCUUCUUCCCUGAAGGCACAUCAAUGUUCAAGUCUAGUUUGGCUUCAAUAAGUCAAAACAAUAGUUAGCCCGAGCCUAUUUGAUUGAACAGGAUUUUUAUAUGUCUCCUGGGCAGUAGCUUAGUUUUCUCAAUCUUCUAUGUAAAAUCGAUAAGCCACAAACUAUUUUUAGAGAGCCUACUGCGUGCGUACAAAUGCACUUACUAUAAGGUGCCAUGAAGUACAAAAAUGAGUUAGACUCUAUCCUCUAUGACUUUUCAGUUUAGUACGAAAAAUGAAACAGAUACAUCAGAUGACUAAUAUAAGUUCCUAAGUGAUGAGUGCCAGGAAGGGAAGACCAAAUAAUGCCAUAAAAGAUAGGAUCAGGAGUGGUAUCAUAGAUAAAGCGGUAUCUCAAAGGGAGCCUGGGAGUAGAGGCAGGAUUUAACCAAGAGGGAAAAGCAUUCCAGAAAUUCCAUACAAAGGCAGGGCAGUGGGAAAGGAACUUUGGAAAAGAUGAGUCUCCAGGUUUGGCUGAAAUAGGGCUUCCCAAAUUUAUGCAUCAGAAUCACCUAGAAAGCUUGUUAGAACAGAUAGCUGAGGGUGGGGGGCAGGGAACAGAUAGCUGGGCACCACUUCCCAGUUUGUGGUUCACUGGGGCUGUGAAGGGGUCCAAGAAUUUACAUGUGUAACAAGCUCCUGAGUGAUGCUGAUGCAGCUGGUGCAGGUACCACAUUGAGACCAUUGGGUUGCAGUGAUGAAUUCAUUAGGAAACCAGAAGAAAAUGAGGCAAAAGAAAAUGGUUCAGGCUAAAAAAGAAAAAGAAGAAGAAGAAACGAAAACAUCAUAGUGAGCCCUGAAUGCCGAUCUAAGUCAGCACACCACGAAUAAAGCUACUUAGUGUUUCAGAGCAAAAGAAUAAGAAAAUUGGUUUUGAGAUGAACAGACACCUAAGUGCGGCACCAUUAGGCCGGAGCAAGGAGUCCCUGGUGAAAAGCAACUCAGACCACAGAGCAAUGGUGGUCUGGGUGGGAACUGAAAAGAAGGGAAGCGAUGACUGAUUUGCUUCAAGCACUAAUUUGAUGUAUGACUCUUCAAGUGAUAAAUAUUUGCUCCUAUAGGAACCUUCAGCAAAUCUAGCACAGAAUCUCAUACAGAGUAGGCUCUGAAUACAGAGAGCCCGAGUGCAUCGGAUGCUGUUGCUUCCUCUAUUAUUGUGAGAACCUGAGUGUGACAAUCAGAAUGAAUUUUUGCCAAAUGAAACAGUAUACCUUUAAGUCUUGUAUAUUGGAAUAUUUGAAACACGUACAAAAUCCUUGACAGGAAAUACUAGAGAUAUCCAGAAAUAACCUAAUCCACUAAAAUAACUCGUACUUGAAAAAGUAUUGUAAUGCUGAUACUCUAGUCUGUAUUUUUUGAAACUGAGCUUGAGCCUGAGAAUAAAAAUUUUUUUAAAGAUCUUAUCUUUUUCAUUACUAUGCCUGUGUCGUUUGAAUGCUGGAAAGAUAAAACUACAAGAAAGGGUGGGGGAUCAUUGUAAUUACCAAUCCACUCGCUAGCCCUUUUUAUUUUUAACAGGUUUGUGGGUGGCAUGAAGCAGCAAGUUAUACUUUGAAACACAUCUACUUGAAACCAAAAGCUAGCCAGCUGCUCCAAAUCUGCUAUUGUUAUCAAUCUCAUCUGGAAAAUAACUUCUCAAGCAGUUCACAGCUCUCAAAUGCUAAAUUCUCAAAACUUCAUAGGAAGCAUGUUAAAGGAAUCAGCUCUGCUCCCCUCCCCCUUCCACUGUUCCCAUCCUCAUGCCAGCAUUUCAAAUGACAGGAAAGUCUAGGAGACAUCAGUCCUGUCGGACUCAAUUUGUGUCUGUGCAAGCGUAUCAGAGCCAACUGCUACAUAAUGACUCGAUGCGAUCACAGAGAUGUAGAUGUAUGAAAUGUUCUCACAGGGAAGAAGUGAUUUGGCUCUUUCCUCUACCCGACUGCGAUGGCCUAAGAAGACCAAAUUCUUCCAAAUGAACCUACAAAUGUUACUCUGGACUUAAAACAAUGAUAGGGUCUGGGAAUGAGUGCAGCUAAAGAACAUAUAUAUUUAUACUCAAAUGGCCUGUGUCCUUGGUGCCGGAUGACAAGAGGAGCUGAGAGGUGUGAAGAUAAGACCUAUGCUAGAUGUUCAUUCCAGCUAAUCUCCACUUCAUAUCUUGUUGAUUACUUAGAAACAUUGCCAGAGGGGAAAUGCUGGCUU
This 2763-nucleotide long non-coding RNA is filed under the name Canis lupus familiaris (dog). RNAcentral describes it as "lncRNA (ENSCAFG00845027822.1)". The record is from RNAcentral. Lineage: Eukaryota; Metazoa; Chordata; Mammalia; Carnivora; Canidae.